UUAAGCGACUAAGCGUACACGGUGGAUGCCCUGGCAGUCAGAGGCGAUGAAGGACGUGCUAAUCUGCGAUAAGCGUCGGUAAGGUGAUAUGAACCGUUAUAACCGGCGAUUUCCGAAUGGGGAAACCCAGUGUGUUUCGACACACUAUCAUUAACUGAAUCCAUAGGUUAAUGAGGCGAACCGGGGGAACUGAAACAUCUAAGUACCCCGAGGAAAAGAAAUCAACCGAGAUUCCCCCAGUAGCGGCGAGCGAACGGGGAGCAGCCCAGAGCCUGAAUCAGUGUGUGUGUUAGUGGAAGCGUCUGGAAAGGCGCGCGAUACAGGGUGACAGCCCCGUACACAAAAAUGCACAUGCUGUGAGCUCGAUGAGUAGGGCGGGACACGUGGUAUCCUGUCUGAAUAUGGGGGGACCAUCCUCCAAGGCUAAAUACUCCUGACUGACCGAUAGUGAACCAGUACCGUGAGGGAAAGGCGAAAAGAACCCCGGCGAGGGGAGUGAAAAAGAACCUGAAACCGUGUACGUACAAGCAGUGGGAGCACGCUUAGGCGUGUGACUGCGUACCUUUUGUAUAAUGGGUCAGCGACUUAUAUUCUGUAGCAAGGUUAACCGAAUAGGGGAGCCGAAGGGAAACCGAGUCUUAACUGGGCGUUAAGUUGCAGGGUAUAGACCCGAAACCCGGUGAUCUAGCCAUGGGCAGGUUGAAGGUUGGGUAACACUAACUGGAGGACCGAACCGACUAAUGUUGAAAAAUUAGCGGAUGACUUGUGGCUGGGGGUGAAAGGCCAAUCAAACCGGGAGAUAGCUGGUUCUCCCCGAAAGCUAUUUAGGUAGCGCCUCGUGAAUUCAUCUCCGGGGGUAGAGCACUGUUUCGGCAAGGGGGUCAUCCCGACUUACCAACCCGAUGCAAACUGCGAAUACCGGAGAAUGUUAUCACGGGAGACACACGGCGGGUGCUAACGUCCGUCGUGAAGAGGGAAACAACCCAGACCGCCAGCUAAGGUCCCAAAGUCAUGGUUAAGUGGGAAACGAUGUGGGAAGGCCCAGACAGCCAGGAUGUUGGCUUAGAAGCAGCCAUCAUUUAAAGAAAGCGUAAUAGCUCACUGGUCGAGUCGGCCUGCGCGGAAGAUGUAACGGGGCUAAACCAUGCACCGAAGCUGCGGCAGCGACGCUUAUGCGUUGUUGGGUAGGGGAGCGUUCUGUAAGCCUGCGAAGGUGUGCUGUGAGGCAUGCUGGAGGUAUCAGAAGUGCGAAUGCUGACAUAAGUAACGAUAAAGCGGGUGAAAAGCCCGCUCGCCGGAAGACCAAGGGUUCCUGUCCAACGUUAAUCGGGGCAGGGUGAGUCGACCCCUAAGGCGAGGCCGAAAGGCGUAGUCGAUGGGAAACAGGUUAAUAUUCCUGUACUUGGUGUUACUGCGAAGGGGGGACGGAGAAGGCUAUGUUGGCCGGGCGACGGUUGUCCCGGUUUAAGCGUGUAGGCUGGUUUUCCAGGCAAAUCCGGAAAAUCAAGGCUGAGGCGUGAUGACGAGGCACUACGGUGCUGAAGCAACAAAUGCCCUGCUUCCAGGAAAAGCCUCUAAGCAUCAGGUAACAUCAAAUCGUACCCCAAACCGACACAGGUGGUCAGGUAGAGAAUACCAAGGCGCUUGAGAGAACUCGGGUGAAGGAACUAGGCAAAAUGGUGCCGUAACUUCGGGAGAAGGCACGCUGAUAUGUAGGUGAGGUCCCUCGCGGAUGGAGCUGAAAUCAGUCGAAGAUACCAGCUGGCUGCAACUGUUUAUUAAAAACACAGCACUGUGCAAACACGAAAGUGGACGUAUACGGUGUGACGCCUGCCCGGUGCCGGAAGGUUAAUUGAUGGGGUUAGCCGCAAGGCGAAGCUCUUGAUCGAAGCCCCGGUAAACGGCGGCCGUAACUAUAACGGUCCUAAGGUAGCGAAAUUCCUUGUCGGGUAAGUUCCGACCUGCACGAAUGGCGUAAUGAUGGCCAGGCUGUCUCCACCCGAGACUCAGUGAAAUUGAACUCGCUGUGAAGAUGCAGUGUACCCGCGGCAAGACGGAAAGACCCCGUGAACCUUUACUAUAGCUUGACACUGAACAUUGAGCCUUGAUGUGUAGGAUAGGUGGGAGGCUUAGAAGUGUGGACGCCAGUCUGCAUGGAGCCGACCUUGAAAUACCACCCUUUAAUGUUUGAUGUUCUAACGUUGACCCGUAAUCCGGGUUGCGGACAGUGUCUGGUGGGUAGUUUGACUGGGGCGGUCUCCUCCUAAAGAGUAACGGAGGAGCACGAAGGUUGGCUAAUCCUGGUCGGACAUCAGGAGGUUAGUGCAAUGGCAUAAGCCAGCUUGACUGCGAGCGUGACGGCGCGAGCAGGUGCGAAAGCAGGUCAUAGUGAUCCGGUGGUUCUGAAUGGAAGGGCCAUCGCUCAACGGAUAAAAGGUACUCCGGGGAUAACAGGCUGAUACCGCCCAAGAGUUCAUAUCGACGGCGGUGUUUGGCACCUCGAUGUCGGCUCAUCACAUCCUGGGGCUGAAGUAGGUCCCAAGGGUAUGGCUGUUCGCCAUUUAAAGUGGUACGCGAGCUGGGUUUAGAACGUCGUGAGACAGUUCGGUCCCUAUCUGCCGUGGGCGCUGGAGAACUGAGGGGGGCUGCUCCUAGUACGAGAGGACCGGAGUGGACGCAUCACUGGUGUUCGGGUUGUCAUGCCAAUGGCACUGCCCGGUAGCUAAAUGCGGAAGAGAUAAGUGCUGAAAGCAUCUAAGCACGAAACUUGCCCC
RNAcentral lists this ribosomal RNA (2774 nucleotides) under Escherichia coli 5-172-05_S4_C3. Its description in RNAcentral is "bacterial LSU rRNA". It matches the Rfam family "Bacterial large subunit ribosomal RNA". The record is from RNAcentral. Lineage: Bacteria; Pseudomonadati; Pseudomonadota; Gammaproteobacteria; Enterobacterales; Enterobacteriaceae.